Molecule: ribosomal RNA, 2930 nt
Filed under: Escherichia coli
Lineage: Bacteria; Pseudomonadati; Pseudomonadota; Gammaproteobacteria; Enterobacterales; Enterobacteriaceae
Description: bacterial LSU rRNA
Rfam family: Bacterial large subunit ribosomal RNA
Source: RNAcentral
GGGUUGUGAGGUUAAGCGACUAAGCGUACACGGUGGAUGCCCUGGCAGUCAGAGGCGAUGAAGGACGUGCUAAUCUGCGAUAAGCGUCGGUAAGGUGAUAUGAACCGUUAUAACCGGCGAUUUCCGAAUGGGGAAACCCAGUGUGAUUCGUCACACUAUCAUUAACUGAAUCCAUAGGUUAAUGAGGCGAACCGGGGGAACUGAAACAUCUAAGUACCCCGAGGAAAAGAAAUCAACCGAGAUUCCCCCAGUAGCGGCGAGCGAACGGGGAGGAGCCCAGAGCCUGAAUCAGUGUGUGUGUUAGUGGAAGCGUCUGGAAAGGCGCGCGAUACAGGGUGACAGCCCCGUACACAAAAAUGCACAUGCUGUGAGCUCGAUGAGUAGGGCGGGACACGUGGUAUCCUGUCUGAAUAUGGGGGGACCAUCCUCCAAGGCUAAAUACUCCUGACUGACCGAUAGUGAACCAGUACCGUGAGGGAAAGGCGAAAAGAACCCCGGCGAGGGGAGUGAAAAAGAACCUGAAACCGUGUACGUACAAGCAGUGGGAGCACGCUUAGGCGUGUGACUGCGUACCUUUUGUAUAAUGGGUCAGCGACUUAUAUUCUGUAGCAAGGUUAACCGAAUAGGGGAGCCGAAGGGAAACCGAGUCUUAACUGGGCGUUAAGUUGCAGGGUAUAGACCCGAAACCCGGUGAUCUAGCCAUGGGCAGGUUGAAGGUUGGGUAACACUAACUGGAGGACCGAACCGACUAAUGUUGAAAAAUUAGCGGAUGACUUGUGGCUGGGGGUGAAAGGCCAAUCAAACCGGGAGAUAGCUGGUUCUCCCCGAAAGCUAUUUAGGUAGCGCCUCGUGAAUUCAUCUCCGGGGGUAGAGCACUGUUUCGGCAAGGGGGUCAUCCCGACUUACCAACCCGAUGCAAACUGCGAAUACCGGAGAAUGUUAUCACGGGAGACACACGGCGGGUGCUAACGUCCGUCGUGAAGAGGGAAACAACCCAGACCGCCAGCUAAGGUCCCAAAGUCAUGGUUAAGUGGGAAACGAUGUGGGAAGGCCCAGACAGCCAGGAUGUUGGCUUAGAAGCAGCCAUCAUUUAAAGAAAGCGUAAUAGCUCACUGGUCGAGUCGGCCUGCGCGGAAGAUGUAACGGGGCUAAACCAUGCACCGAAGCUGCGGCAGCGACACUGUGUGUUGUUGGGUAGGGGAGCGUUCUGUAAGCCUGCGAAGGUGUGCUGUGAGGCAUGCUGGAGGUAUCAGAAGUGCGAAUGCUGACAUAAGUAACGAUAAAGCGGGUGAAAAGCCCGCUCGCCGGAAGACCAAGGGUUCCUGUCCAACGUUAAUCGGGGCAGGGUGAGUCGACCCCUAAGGCGAGGCCGAAAGGCGUAGUCGAUGGGAAACAGGUUAAUAUUCCUGUACUUGGUGUUACUGCGAAGGGGGGACGGAGAAGGCUAUGUUGGCCGGGCGACGGUUGUCCCGGUUUAAGCGUGUAGGCUGGUUUUCCAGGCAAAUCCGGAAAAUCAAGGCUGAGGCGUGAUGACGAGGCACUACGGUGCUGAAGCAACAAAUGCCCUGCUUCCAGGAAAAGCCUCUAAGCAUCAGGUAACAUCAAAUCGUACCCCAAACCGACACAGGUGGUCAGGUAGAGAAUACCAAGGCGCUUGAGAGAACUCGGGUGAAGGAACUAGGCAAAAUGGUGCCGUAACUUCGGGAGAAGGCACGCUGAUACGUAGGUGAAGUCCCUCGCGGAUGGAGCUGAAAUCAGUCGAAGAUACCAGCUGGCUGCAACUGUUUAUUAAAAACACAGCACUGUGCAAACACGAAAGUGGACGUAUACGGUGUGACGCCUGCCCGGUGCCGGAAGGUUAAUUGAUGGGGUCAGCGCAAGCGAAGCUCUUGAUCGAAGCCCCGGUAAACGGCGGCCGUAACUAUAACGGUCCUAAGGUAGCGAAAUUCCUUGUCGGGUAAGUUCCGACCUGCACGAAUGGCGUAAUGAUGGCCAGGCUGUCUCCACCCGAGACUCAGUGAAAUUGAACUCGCUGUGAAGAUGCAGUGUACCCGCGGCAAGACGGAAAGACCCCGUGAACCUUUACUAUAGCUUGACACUGAACAUUGAGCCUUGAUGUGUAGGAUAGGUGGGAGGCUUUGAAGUGUGGACGCCAGUCUGCAUGGAGCCGACCUUGAAAUACCACCCUUUAAUGUUUGAUGUUCUAACGUUGACCCGUAAUCCGGGUUGCGGACAGUGUCUGGUGGGUAGUUUGACUGGGGCGGUCUCCUCCUAAAGAGUAACGGAGGAGCACGAAGGUUGGCUAAUCCUGGUCGGACAUCAGGAGGUUAGUGCAAUGGCAUAAGCCAGCUUGACUGCGAGCGUGACGGCGCGAGCAGGUGCGAAAGCAGGUCAUAGUGAUCCGGUGGUUCUGAAUGGAAGGGCCAUCGCUCAACGGAUAAAAGGUACUCCGGGGAUAACAGGCUGAUACCGCCCAAGAGUUCAUAUCGACGGCGGUGUUUGGCACCUCGAUGUCGGCUCAUCACAUCCUGGGGCUGAAGUAGGUCCCAAGGGUAUGGCUGUUCGCCAUUUAAAGUGGUACGCGAGCUGGGUUUAGAACGUCGUGAGACAGUUCGGUCCCUAUCUGCCGUGGGCGCUGGAGAAUUGAGGGGGGCUGCUCCUAGUACGAGAGGACCGGAGUGGACGCAUCACUGGUGUUCGGGUUGUCAUGCCAAUGGCACUGCCCGGUAGCUAAAUGCGGAAGAGAUAAGUGCUGAAAGCAUCUAAGCACGAAACUUGCCCCGAGAUGAGUUCUCCCUGACUCCUUGAGAGUCCUGAAGGAACGUUGAAGACGACGACGUUGAUAGGCCGGGUGUGUAAGCGCAGCGAUGCGUUGAGCUAACCGGUACUAAUGAACCGUGAGGCUUAACCUUACAACGCCGAAGGUGUUU